This 1235-nucleotide ribosomal RNA is filed under the name metagenome. RNAcentral's name for it is "bacterial LSU rRNA". It matches the Rfam family "Bacterial large subunit ribosomal RNA", at positions 1564 to 2808 of the family's 2925-position model. The record is from RNAcentral.
UGAAUACGAGAUGCUACGGCGUCGAAGCAGUGUAUGUCAGACUUCCAAGAAAAGCUCGCAAUGUCAUAAAUAAAGAAUGCCUGUACCAUAACCGACACAGGUGGGUAGGUAGAGUAUACUAAGGGGCGCGAGAUAACUCUCUCUAAGGAACUCGGCAAAAUAACUCCGUAACUUCGGGAGAAGGAGUGCCUUCUAUUAGAAGGUUGCAAUAACAAGAUCCAAGCAACUGUUUAUCAAAAACACAGGUCUCCGCUAAGUCGUAAGACGAUGUAUGGGGGCUGACGCCUGCCCAGUGCCAGAAGGUUAAAGAAGUUGGUUAGCUUUGGCGAAGCUGAUGACUGAAGCCCUGGUGAACGGCGGCCGUAACAAUAACGGUCCUAAGGUAGCGAAAUUCCUUGUCGGGUAAGUUCCGACCCGCACGAAAGGCGUAAUGAUUUGGAUACUGUCUCGGAGAGGGACUCGGUGAAAUAGACUUGUCUGUGAAGAUGCGGACUACCUGCACCAGGACAGAAAGACCCUAUGAAGCUUUACUGUAACUUGAAAUUGAAAUUGGACUUUAUUUGCGCAGCAUAGGUGGAAGGCGUUGAGAUUACUCUUGCGGGAGUACUGGAGCCAUCAGUGAGAUACCACUCCUAUAAUGUUAGAUUUCUAACUUUGGAUCAUGAUCUGGUCAAAGAACAGUUUCAGGCGGGCAGUUUGACUGGGGCGGUCGCCUCCCAAAUGGUAACGGAGGCGUACAAAGGUUUCCUCUGAACGGGUAGAAAUCGUAUCUAGAGUGUAAAGGCAUAAGGAAGCUUGACUGUGAGACCUACAAGUCGAGCAGGGACGAAAGUCGGUCUUAGUGAUCUGACGGUGCUGAGUGGAAAGGCCGUCACUCAACGGAUAAAAGUUACUCUAGGAUAACAGGCUGAUCUCCCCCAAGAGUUCACAUCGACGGGGAGGUUUGGCACCUCGAUGUCGGCUCAUCGCAUCCUGGGGCGGUAGUACGUCCCAAGGGUUGGGCUGUUCGCCCAUGAAAGCGGUACGCGAGCUGGGUUCAGAACGUCGUGAGACAGUUCGGUCCAUAUCCGGUGUAGGCGUUAGAAUAUUGGGAGGAGCCUUCUUUAGUACGAGAGGACCGAGAAGGACAUACCUCUGGUGUACCAGUUAUCGUGCCAACGGUAAACGCUGGGUAGCUAUGUAUGGAGAGGAUAACCGCUGAAAGCAUCUAAGUGGGAAGCCCACCUCAAGAUGAG